Long non-coding RNA from Rhipicephalus microplus (southern cattle tick), 433 nucleotides. The record is from RefSeq and is a predicted model, not a curated record. Lineage: Eukaryota; Metazoa; Arthropoda; Arachnida; Ixodida; Ixodidae.
GAGCUCUGUAAUUCAGCCAGUUGAGACAACGUAACCUUCCCACCUUGCCAAUCAAAAUGCCAUGCCUGUACGCUUUCAUCUCGGUUGAAUGUCGAGCAUAGGCCUAGGUGUGACACCAGUGUGGGCAUUUAAAUCAUGGCUGAACACGAAGCAUGCCAAGAUUCAACAGGGCUGAUCCUCCAUCAUCUAUGGUGACAACUUGAAAGUGACUGAAGCAUCAAAACCACUGAGUGAGAUGUUGCCACAUACGGAUGCAAAGACGAAGCAGCGGAGUGGAAUAAGUCCUGUUUCAAUUAUAAUGUGAUAUUUUGUCCAAGUUCCUGUCGUUGCUUAAAGCAGGGUCAUGGAAACUUAUGUGACAAGCCACCGAAGAUGCAAGAGGGUGAUGUGUGUGCCAAGAAAGGAUUGAUGCAAUGAAGCAAUAAUUAGGAAA